GACGAACGCUGGCGGCGUGCCUAAUACAUGCAAGUAGAACGCACAGUUUAUACCGUAGCUUGCUACACCAUAGACUGUGAGUUGCGAACGGGUGAGUAACGCGUAGGUAACCUGCCUGGUAGCGGGGGAUAACUAUUGGAAACGAUAGCUAAUACCGCAUAAUAUUAAUUAUUGCAUGAUAAUUAAUUGAAAGGUGCAAUUGCACCACUACCAGAUGGACCUGCGUUGUAUUAGCUAGUAGGUGAGGUAACGGCUCACCUAGGCGACGAUACAUAGCCGACCUGAGAGGGUGAUCGGCCACACUGAGACUGAGACACGGCCCAGACUCCUACGGGAGGCAGCAGUAGGGAAUCUUCGGCAAUGGACGAAAGUCUGACCGAGCAACGCCGCGUGAGGGAAGAAGGUUUUCGGAUCGUAAAGCUCGGUUGUAAGAGAAGAACGGGUGUGAGAGUGGAAAGUUCACACUGUGACGGUAUCUUACCAGAAAGGGACGGCUAACUACGUG
Molecule: ribosomal RNA, 505 nt
Filed under: uncultured bacterium
Lineage: Bacteria
Description: partial 16S ribosomal RNA
Rfam family: Bacterial small subunit ribosomal RNA
Source: RNAcentral